This 1443-nucleotide ribosomal RNA is filed under the name uncultured organism. RNAcentral describes it as "SSU rRNA". It matches the Rfam family "Bacterial small subunit ribosomal RNA". The record is from RNAcentral.
GCUACAGGCUUAACACAUGCAAGUCGAGGGGCAGCAUUUUAGUUUGCUUGCAAACUGAAGAUGGCGACCGGCGCACGGGUGAGUAACACGUAUCCAACCUACCGAUAACUCCGGAAUAGCCUUUCGAAAGAAAGAUUAAUACCGGAUAGCAUACGAAUAUCGCAUGAUAUUUUUAUUAAAGAAUUUCGGUCAUCGAUGGGGAUGCGUUCCAUUAGUUUGUUGGCGGGGUAACGGCCCACCAAGACUACGAUGGAUAGGGGUUCUGAGAGGAAGGUCCCCCACAUUGGAACUGAGACACGGUCCAAACUCCUACGGGAGGCAGCAGUGAGGAAUAUUGGUCAAUGGGCGAGAGCCUGAACCAGCCAAGUAGCGUGAAGGAUGAAGGCUCUAUGGGUCGUAAACUUCUUUUAUAUGGGAAUAAAGUUUUCCACGUGUGGAAUUUUGUAUGUACCAUAUGAAUAAGGAUCGGCUAACUCCGUGCCAGCAGCCGCGGUAAUACGGAGGAUCCGAGCGUUAUCCGGAUUUAUUGGGUUUAAAGGGAGCGUAGGUGGAUUGUUAAGUCAGUUGUGAAAGUUUGCGGCUCAACCGUAAAAUUGCAGUUGAAACUGGCAGUCUUGAGUACAGUAGAGGUGGGCGGAAUUCGUGGUGUAGCGGUGAAAUGCUUAGAUAUCACGAAGAACUCCGAUUGCGAAGGCAGCUCACUAGACUGUCACUGACACUGAUGCUCGAAAGUGUGGGUAUCAAACAGGAUUAGAUACCCUGGUAGUCCACACAGUAAACGAUGAAUACUCGCUGUUUGCGAUAUACAGUAAGCGGCCAAGCGAAAGCAUUAAGUAUUCCACCUGGGGAGUACGCCGGCAACGGUGAAACUCAAAGGAAUUGACGGGGGCCCGCACAAGCGGAGGAACAUGUGGUUUAAUUCGAUGAUACGCGAGGAACCUUACCCGGGCUUAAAUUGCAACAGAAUAUAUUGGAAACAGUAUAGCCGUAAGGCUGUUGUGAAGGUGUUGCAUGGUUGUCGUCAGCUCGUGCCGUGAGGUGUCGGCUUAAGUGCCAUAACGAGCGCAACCCUUAUCUUUAGUUACUAACAGGUUAUGCUGAGGACUCUAGAGAGACUGCCGUCGUAAGAUGUGAGGAAGGUGGGGAUGACGUCAAAUCAGCACGGCCCUUACGUCCGGGGCUACACACGUGUUACAAUGGGGGGUACAGAAGGCGGCUACCUGGUGACAGGAUGCUAAUCCCAAAAACCUCUCUCAGUUCGGAUCGAAGUCUGCAACCCGACUUCGUGAAGCUGGAUUCGCUAGUAAUCGCGCAUCAGCCAUGGCGCGGUGAAUACGUUCCCGGGCCUUGUACACACCGCCCGUCAAGCCAUGAAAGCCGGGGGUACCUGAAGUACGUAACCGCAAGGAGCGUCCUAGGGUAAAACUGGUAAUUGGGGCUAAA